GAACGAAGGUGGGAAGAAAUAGGCUCUGUGCACAAGCGUAUGGGCGAAGUUCCGCUUUAGCCAGGUUUAAUAAAGGCGAUCACCCGGGUCGCCCAAAAUUUCAGUUUUUAGUACAUGUCUCCAAGACCUGCCUAAAAUAAGCAUUAGUGAUGUCCAUCGAAUUGUUGAUGCCUGGUCCCCUGCUCCAACAAGCAAGCGGAACAAGGGAUUCAAACUCUACGUAUUGAGUUAUCUGCACAGCUAGGCCCUGACCCAUCUAGUCAUGGACUCCACUAGACCUCGGAAGGUGUGCUGUGGAAUCUCGCACCAAGACGUUAGCAGCAGAUCCUUUGAGUCCUGGCGCAUUAUCCUGCUGAAAGAGGCCAAUGCCAUCAGGGAAUAUCGUUGCCAUGAAAGGGUGCGCAUGGUCUGCAACAAUGCUCAGGUAGGUGGUACGUGUCAAAGUAACAUCCACAUGAAUGGCAAGACCCAAGGUUUCCCUGCAGAACAUUGCCCAAAGCAUCACACUUCUUCCGCAAGCUUGCCUCCUUCCCAUAGUGCAUCCUGGUACCAUGUGUUCUCCAGGUAAGUAACACACACGCACCCGGCCAUCCACAUGAUGUAAAAGAAAACGUAAUUGAUCAGACCAGGCCACCUUCUUCCAUUUCUCUGUGGUCCAGUUCUGAUACUCACGUGCCCAUUGUAAGCAAAACAUUAUGAUAUGUCCCCUUGUUUGAUAUGGUGAUAUGUUUAGGCUACUAUAGGUUAGAGGCAAUAACAUUUAUUGGACUAGAAUGUUACUAAAAAAAAAUAUUUUUGUUGACAAAAGUGGC
Long non-coding RNA from Esox lucius (northern pike), 812 nucleotides. The record is from Ensembl. NCBI's taxonomy places the organism in Eukaryota, Metazoa, Chordata, Actinopteri, Esociformes, Esocidae.